UGGGACUGCUUCCUCAGUGCCUUCCAGUGU
This 30-nucleotide non-coding RNA is filed under the name Mus musculus (house mouse). Lineage: Eukaryota; Metazoa; Chordata; Mammalia; Rodentia; Muridae. The record is from RNAcentral.